Molecule: ribosomal RNA, 464 nt
Filed under: Vreelandella stevensii
Lineage: Bacteria; Pseudomonadati; Pseudomonadota; Gammaproteobacteria; Oceanospirillales; Halomonadaceae
Description: partial 16S ribosomal RNA
Rfam family: Bacterial small subunit ribosomal RNA
Source: RNAcentral
CCUACGGGAGGCAGCAGUGGGGAAUAUUGGACAAUGGGCGAAAGCCUGAUCCAGCCAUGCCGCGUGUGUGAAGAAGGCCUUCGGGUUGUAAAGCACUUUCAGUGGGGAAGAAAGCCUUGGGGCUAAUACCCUCGAGGAAGGACAUCACCCACAGAAGAAGCACCGGCUAACUCCGUGCCAGCAGCCGCGGUAAUACGGAGGGUGCGAGCGUUAAUCGGAAUUACUGGGCGUAAAGCGCGCGUAGGCGGUCUGAUAAGCCGGUUGUGAAAGCCCCGGGCUCAACCUGGGAACGGCAUCCGGAACUGUCAGGCUAGAGUGCAGGAGAGGAAGGUAGAAUUCCCGGUGUAGCGGUGAAAUGCGUAGAGAUCGGGAGGAAUACCAGUGGCGAAGGCGGCCUUCUGGACUGACACUGACGCUGAGGUGCGAAAGCGUGGGUAGCAAACAGGAUUAGAUACCCUGUAGUC